CGAUACUCCACUCAUCUUUCUCGAUUCUAUUGACAUAAUUUGGUUUCUUCUAUAUUAGUGAAAUCAUUACAUGACAGUGGAUCUUGCUUGGUACUUGUCCGAGGGGAGAUCCAUACUCAACUCAUCUUUCUCAAUUCUACUGACAUGAUUACUUGGAAUUGAUUGUCGUGAACUCAAUCUCUCAUAUAGGCAUAGUUGAAUAUCGCGAAGCAAAAACCCAAACUUGAAUAUCGCGAAGCAAAAGGCUACAUCAGACGAUGUACAAGUUUUUCAAAAAUGAUUUGAUCGAUUGGUGUGUUUCGAUCUUGUUGAUUCACUAGGUAAAUCACAGCCUCAUCCUUCUAUAUUACCUGUUGAUCGAUCAAAAAAAGCACCUUACCUCGGAUCAAGAAAAAAGAAGAAACCGAAUCUCGGAAAACGACAAAUCACACAGUUGAACAAGGUGGGAGUAGCUCGUGUGAUCUAGUCGAAGGUCCAUAGGAAACUGAUAAGGAGAGGGGUCUUCCAUCUCACUAUUCUAGAUUCUACCGAAUUAGUUGGAAUUGAAUUCGUCCAAGAUUAAAUGCCAGUUGAAUGUCGACUAGUGUUGAAGGUCCAAGCUGUACUCGACUCAUAAUUUUGCUUUUCUAUACCUUACUCGUGAAAUCGAUGAUGAUUACAUGACAGUUUAAUGUCGCCUUAUUGCUUGAUCCUUAUCUUGUAUCCAAACCAUACUCAACUCAGAAUCUACUGACGAUCGACCACCAACUCAUGAUUACAAAAACCCUCUCUUCGAAAACCCAAUAAUCAUAAACCAACUCGUCGACUUUGGUUGAUCCUUCACUUGGCCAAAGGUCCUAGCCGUACUUCCCUCCACUCAUAAUCACCAACUCUAUCAAAUUUUUAGAAUUGAAAUGUUUGACUAUUACAAAAGUACAU
Arabidopsis thaliana (thale cress) is the source of this 918-nucleotide RNA transcript. RefSeq lists it as uncharacterized. The record is from RefSeq. Lineage: Eukaryota; Viridiplantae; Streptophyta; Magnoliopsida; Brassicales; Brassicaceae. The transcript has a single exon.